This 67-nucleotide transfer RNA is filed under the name Marmota monax (woodchuck). Its description in RNAcentral is "tRNA.Ala". Lineage: Eukaryota; Metazoa; Chordata; Mammalia; Rodentia; Sciuridae. The record is from RNAcentral.
GGUUGUGGCUCAGUGGUAAAGUGCUCACCUAGCAUUUGUGAGGCCCUGGGUUCAAUCCUCAGCACCA